AAAUUUGUAAUCUGGCGGUCUCGCGGCCGUCCGAGUUGUAAUCUGGAGAAGCGUUUUCGGCGCCGGCCCGCGUACAAGUCCCCUGGAACGGGGCGUCGCAGAGGGUGAGAAUCCCGUCUCUGACGCGGUACGCCGGCGCCGUGCGAUGCGCUCUCGAAGAGUCGAGUUGUUUGGGAAUGCAGCUCAAAACGGGUGGUAAAUUCCAUCUAAAGCUAAAUACUGGCGAAAGACCGAUAGCGAACAAGUACCGUGAGGGAAAGAUGAAAAGCACUUUGGAAAGAGAGUCAAACAGUACGUGAAAUUGUUGAAAGGGAAACGCUUGAAGUCAGUCGCGUCUCUCGGGACUCAGUCGGACCCUAGGGUCCGACGCACUUCCCGGGUCGGACGGGCCAGCGUCGAUUUCCGCCGCCGUAAAAAGGCUGUGAGGAACGUGGCACCUUCGGGUGUGUUAUAGCCUCGCGUCGUAUGCGGCGGUAGGGAUCGAGGGACGCAGCGCGCGCCCUCCACGGAGGGCACGGGGUUCGCCCACGUAACGCGCUUGGGACGCUGGCGUAAUGGCUUUAAGCGACCCGUCUUGAAAC
This 581-nucleotide ribosomal RNA is filed under the name Protubera sp. SM10143. Its description in RNAcentral is "eukaryotic LSU rRNA". It matches the Rfam family "Eukaryotic large subunit ribosomal RNA", at positions 111 to 660 of the family's 3401-position model. Lineage: Eukaryota; Fungi; Basidiomycota; Agaricomycetes; Phallales; Phallaceae. The record is from RNAcentral.